Long non-coding RNA from Gopherus evgoodei (Goodes thornscrub tortoise), 254 nucleotides. RefSeq lists it as uncharacterized. The transcript is spliced from 3 exons. The record is from RefSeq and is a predicted model, not a curated record. Lineage: Eukaryota; Metazoa; Chordata; Testudines; Testudinidae.
UGGACAUGAUUUAUUUUGGACUUAAGCAAAUCUUUUGAUAUGCUCUCCCACAGUAUUCUUGCCAGCAAGUUAAAGAAGUAUGGGCUGGAUGAAUGGACUAUAAAGUGGAUAGAAAGCUGACUAGAUCGUCGGGCUCAAUGGGUAGUGAUAAAUGGCUCCAUGUCUAGUUGUCAGCCGGUUUCAAGAGGAGUGCCCUAAGGGUCGGUCCUGGGGCUGGUUUUGUUCAAUAUCUUCAUUAAUGAUCUGAAGGAUGG